CCGCAACCUGGUCGGCCGGCGCUACGUCGCGCUCACCGAGGGCGCGGGCAGCGGCACCCGGCUGCGGCCGGGCGGCACCAUCCCGCUGGCGCGGACC
RNAcentral lists this transfer RNA (97 nucleotides) under Streptomyces capillispiralis. RNAcentral's name for it is "tRNA-Arg". Lineage: Bacteria; Bacillati; Actinomycetota; Actinomycetes; Kitasatosporales; Streptomycetaceae. The record is from RNAcentral.